AAUAUUGCACAAUGGGCGCAAGCCUGAUGCAGCCAUGCCGCGUGUAUGAAGAAGGCCUUCGGGUUGUAAAGUACUUUCAGCAGUGAGGAAGGUGGGGUAUGGUUAAUAGCAUACUCAUUUGACGUUAGCUGCAGAAGAAGCACCGGCUAACUCCGUGCCAGCAGCCGCGGUAAUACGGAGGGUGCGAGCGUUAAUCGGAAUUACUGGGCGUAAAGCGCAUGCAGGUGGUUUGUUAAGUCAGAUGUGAAAGCCCGGGGCUCAACCUCGGAAUUGCAUUUGAAACUGGCAAACUAGAGUACUGUAGAGGGGGGUAGGAAUUUCAGGUGUAGCGGUGAAAUGCGUAGAGAUCUGAAGGAAUACCGGUGGCGAAGGCGGCCCCCUGGACAGAUACUGACACUCAGAUGCGAAAGCGUGGGGAGCAAACAGGAUUAGAUACCCUGGUAG
This 444-nucleotide ribosomal RNA is filed under the name uncultured bacterium. RNAcentral's name for it is "bacterial SSU rRNA". It matches the Rfam family "Bacterial small subunit ribosomal RNA", at positions 360 to 793 of the family's 1533-position model. The record is from RNAcentral.